UGGGGAAUCUUGCGCAAUGGGCGAAAGCCUGACGCAGCGACGCCGCGUGUGGGAUGAGGGUCUUCGGAUUGUAAACCACUGUCGCGAGGGACGAAGCUCUGACGGUACCUCGAAAGGAAGCACCGGCUAACUCUGUGCCAGCAGCCGCGGUAAUACAGAGGGUGCGAGCGUUGUCCGGAAUCACUGGGCGUAAAGGGCGCGUAGGCGGCCCGGUAAGUAGGGGGUGAAAUCUCAUGGCUCAACUGUGAGGCUGCCUUCUAGACUGCCAGGCUUGAGCACAGUAGAGGCGAGUGGAAUUCCCGGUGUAGCGGUGGAAUGCGUAGAGAUCGGGAAGAACAUCGGUGGCGAAGGCGGCUCGCUGGGCUGUUGCUGACGCUGAGGCGCGAAAGCGUGGGGAGCAAACAGGAUUAGAUACCCCUGUAGUCCCUGAGCGGGCUGGCAAGGCGCAU
This 449-nucleotide ribosomal RNA is filed under the name uncultured bacterium. RNAcentral's name for it is "bacterial SSU rRNA". It matches the Rfam family "Bacterial small subunit ribosomal RNA", at positions 355 to 825 of the family's 1533-position model. The record is from RNAcentral.